This 406-nucleotide ribosomal RNA is filed under the name uncultured bacterium. Its description in RNAcentral is "partial 16S ribosomal RNA". It matches the Rfam family "Bacterial small subunit ribosomal RNA", at positions 29 to 526 of the family's 1533-position model. The record is from RNAcentral.
AUUGAACGCUGGCGGCAGGCCUAACACAUGCAAGUCGAACGAGUGGCGGACGGGUGAGUAAUGUCUGGGCAACUGCCUGAUGGAGGGGGAUCACUACUGGAAACGGUAGCUAAUUCCGCCUACCAUCGGAUGAGCCCAGGUGGGAUUGGUUGGUGUGUGGGGUAAAGGCUCACCAGGGCGACGACCCCUAGCUGGGCGGAGGGGAUGACCAGCAACACUGGAACUGAGAAACGGUCCAGACUCUUACGGGAGGCAGCAGGGGGGAAUAUUGCACAAGGGGGGAAGGCCUGCUGAGGCCAGGCGGCGUGGAUGAAGAAGGCCUCCGGGUGGUAAGGUACUUUCAGCGGGGAGGCGUUACCCGCAGAAGAAGCAACGGCUAACUCCGUGCCAGCCGCCGCGGUAAUUC